Molecule: ribosomal RNA, 2726 nt
Filed under: Alphaproteobacteria bacterium
Lineage: Bacteria; Pseudomonadati; Pseudomonadota; Alphaproteobacteria
Description: 23S ribosomal RNA
Rfam family: Bacterial large subunit ribosomal RNA
Source: RNAcentral
GAUCAAGCGUCUUGAAGAGCAUUUGGUGGAUGCCUUGGUACAGAGAGGCGAUGAAGGACGUGACACGCUGCGAUAAGCUGUGGGGAGUCGUGAGUAGGCUUUGAUCCGCAGAUUUCCGAAUGGGGAAACCCAAACCAUUUUGGUUUAUCCCGCAAGGGAGGCAAACCCAGCGAACUGAAAUAUCUAAGUAGCUGGAGGAAAGGACAUCAACCGAGACUCCGUUAGUAGUGACGAGCGAACGCGGACCAGGCCAGUGGCCAAUUUGAAAACAACCAGAAUGACCUGGAAAGGUCAGCCAUAGUGGGUGAUAGCCCCGUAUGGGUAAUGUUUCAUUUUGGUCCUUGAGUAGGGCGGGACACGAGAAAUCCUGCUUGAACAUGGGGGGACCACCCUCCAAGCCUAAGUACUACUCUGUGACCGAUAGCGAACAAGUACCGUGAGGGAAAGGUGAAAAGAACCCCUAUGAGGGGAGUGAAACAGACCUGAAACCGAAUGCUUACAAACAGUAGGAGCUACAUUAAGUAGUGACUGCGUACCUUUUGUAUAAUGGGUCAGCGAGUUAAUUUAUUGAGCAAGCUUAAGCCGUUAGGUGUAGGCGAAGCGAAAGCGAGUAUGAAUAGUGCGAUUUAGUUCGAUGGAUUAGACCCGAAACCGGGUGAUCUAGCUAUGGGCAGGUUGAAGGUGCGGUAACACGCACUGGAGGACCGAACCCACGUCUGUUGAAAAAGACGGGGAUGACCUGUGGCUAGGGGUGAAAGGCCAAUCAAACCCGGAGAUAGCUGGUUCUCCGCGAAAACUAUUUAGGUAGUGCGUUAUAUAUUACUGCCGGGGGUAGAGCACUGGAUGGGCUAGGGGGGCGCGAGCCUUACCAAACCUAACCAAACUCCGAAUACCGGUAAGUACAGUAUAGCAGACAGUCCAUGGGUGCUAAGGUCCUUGGACGAGAGGGAAAGAGCCCAGACCACCAGCUAAGGUCCCUAAGUUAUGGCUAAGUGGGAAAGGAUGUGGGAAGGCCAAGACAGCCAGGAGGUUGGCUUAGAAGCAGCCAUCCUUUAAAGAAAGCGUAACAGCUCACUGGUCUAAAUAAGCCGGCCUGCGCCGAAGAUGUAACGGGGCUAAAGCCAUACACCGAAGCUGUGGAUGCCGAAAGGCAUGGUAGCGGAGCGUUCUGUAAGCCGCUGAAGGUAACACGUGAGUGUUAUUGGAGGUAUCAGAAGUGAGAAUGCUGACAUGAGUAGCGAUAAAGAGUGUGAGAAACACUCUCGCCGAAAGCCCAAGGGUUCCUGCGCAAGGUUAAUCCACGCAGGGUUAGUCGGCCCCUAAGAUAAGUGCGAAAGCAGUAGUCGAUGGGAACACGGUUAAUAUUCCGUGACCUGAUGGAAGUGACGGAUGGUGUAAAUUGUAAAUGCUUAUCGGAUUGUGUUUGCAGUGAAACCGUUCCAGGAAAUAGCUCCAUCAUUAAGACCGUACCCGAAACCGACACAGGUGGGCAGGUAGAGAAUACCAAGGCGCUUGGGAGAAUGAUGUUGAAGGAACUCGGCAAAAUGCACCCGUAACUUCGGGAUAAGGGUGGCCUGUUCUGGGCAACCAGAAGCAGGUAGCAUUAAAUAGGGGGUAGCGACUGUUUAUUAAAAACAUAGGGCUCUGCAAAGUGGCAACACGACGUAUAGGGUCCGACGCCUGCCCGGUGCUGGAAGGUUAAGAGGAGUUGUGCAAGCAGCGAAUUGAAGCCCCAGUAAACGGCGGCCGUAACUAUAACGGUCCUAAGGUAGCGAAAUUCCUUGUCGGGUAAGUUCCGACCUGCACGAAUGGCGUAACGACUUCCCCGCUGUCUCCAACAUCAACUCAGCGAAAUUGAAUUCCCCGUGAAGAUGCGGGGUACCCGCGGUCAGACGGAAAGACCCCGUGCACCUUUACUACAGCUUUGCAGUGGCAUCAGGAAGCCGAUGUGCAGGAUAGGUGGGAGGCUUGGAACUUGUAGCGCCAGCUAUGAGGGAGCCAACCUUGAGAUACCACCCUUCUGCUUUCUGUUGUCUAACCGAGAUCAGUUAUCCUGGUCCGGGACCCUGCAUGGUGGGUAGUUUGACUGGGGCGGUCGCCUCCCAAAUGGUAACGGAGGCGCGCGAUGGUAGGCUCAAACCGGUCGGACAUCGGUUGUUGAGUGCAAUGGCAUAAGCCUGCCUGACUGUGAGACUGACAAGUCGAGCAGAGACGAAAGUCGGUCAUAGUGAUCCGGUGGUUCUGCGUGGAAGGGCCAUCGCUCAACGGAUAAAAGGUACGCCGGGGAUAACAGGCUGAUACCCCCCCAAGAGUUCACAUCGACGGGGGUGUUUGGCACCUCGAUGUCGGCUCAUCACAUCCUGGGGCUGGAGCAGGUCCCAAGGGUUUGGCUGUUCGCCAAUUAAAGUGGUACGUGAGCUGGGUUUAGAACGUCGUGAGACAGUUCGGUCCCUAUCUGCCGUGGGUGUUCGAAUCUUGAGAGGAGCUGUCCCUAGUACGAGAGGACCGGGAUGGACGCACCUCUGGUGUACCAGUUGUCGCGCCAGCGGCAUAGCUGGGUAGCUAUGUGCGGAAAGGAUAACUGCUGAAAGCAUCUAAGCGGGAAGCCUCCCUCAAAACUAGGAUUCGCCGAGAACCGUGGAAGACUACCACGUUGAUAGGCUAGGUGUGGAAGCGCAGUAAUGUGUGAAGCUAACUAGUACUAAUAGUUCGAUCGGCUUGAUCGU